RNAcentral lists this unclassified non-coding RNA (344 nucleotides) under soil metagenome. Its description in RNAcentral is "partial contains 5.8S ribosomal RNA, internal transcribed spacer 2, and large subunit ribosomal RNA". The stretch from base 1 to 119 matches the Rfam family "5.8S ribosomal RNA", at positions 35 to 154 of the family's 154-position model. The record is from RNAcentral.
GAUGAAGAACGUAGCAAAUGCGAUACGUAAUGUGAAUUGCAGAAUUCAGUGAAUCAUCGAGUCUUUGAACGCACAUUGCGCCCCCUGGUAUUCCGGGGGGCAUGCCUGUCCGAGCGUCAUUGCUGCCCUCAAGCACGGCUUGUGUGUUGGGCCUCCGUCCUCCUCCCGGGGGACGGGCCCGAAAGGCAGCGGCGGCACCGCGUCCGGUCCUCGAGCGUAUGGGGCUUCGUCACCCGCACUUGUAGGCCCGGCCGGCGCUUGCCGACACAUCAAUCUUUUUUCCAGGUUGACCUCGGAUCAGGUAGGGAUACCCGCUGAACUUAAGCAUAUCAAUAAGCGGAGGA